CGGCACGGGUGAGUAACACGUAUCCAACCUGCCGUCUACUCUUGGACAGCCUUCUGAAAGGAAGAUUAAUACAAGAUGGCAUCAUGAGUCCGCAUGUUCACAUGAUUAAAGGUAUUCCGGUAGACGAUGGGGAUGCGUUCCAUUAGAUAGUAGGCGGGGUAACGGCCCACCUAGUCUUCGACGGAUAGGGGUUCUGAGAGGAAGGUCCCCCACAUUGGAACUGAGACACGGUCCAA
Molecule: ribosomal RNA, 236 nt
Filed under: uncultured bacterium
Lineage: Bacteria
Description: partial 16S ribosomal RNA
Rfam family: Bacterial small subunit ribosomal RNA
Source: RNAcentral